UACGUAGGGGGCAAGCGUUGUCCGGAUUUAUUGGGCGUAAAGAGCUCGUAGGCGGUCUGUCGCGUCUGCUGUGAAACUCAGGGCUUAACCCUGAGCUUGCAGUGGGUACGGCAGACUAGAGUGCGGUAGGGGAGAUUGGAAUUCCUGGUGUAGCGGUGGAAUGCGCAGAUAUCAGGAGGAACACCGAUGGCGAAGGCAGAUCUCUGGGCCGUAACUGACGCUGAGGAGCGAAAGCAUGGGAGCGAACAGG
Molecule: ribosomal RNA, 250 nt
Filed under: uncultured bacterium
Lineage: Bacteria
Description: partial 16S ribosomal RNA
Rfam family: Bacterial small subunit ribosomal RNA
Source: RNAcentral